This 327-nucleotide ribosomal RNA is filed under the name uncultured eukaryote. RNAcentral's name for it is "partial 18S ribosomal RNA". It matches the Rfam family "Eukaryotic small subunit ribosomal RNA", at positions 1470 to 1796 of the family's 1831-position model. The record is from RNAcentral.
CCCUUAGAUGUUCUGGGCCGCACGCGCGCUACACUGAUGCAUUCAACGAGCCUAUCCUUGACCGACAGGUCCGGGUAAUCUUUGAAUCUGCAUCGUGACGGGGAUAGAUUAUUGCAAUUAUUAAUCUUCAACGAGGAAUGCCUAGUAGGCGCAAGUCAUCAGCUUGCGUCGAUUACGUCCCUGCCCUUUGUACACACCGCCCGUCGCUCCUACCGAUUGAACGUUCCGAUGAAUACCAUGGAUUGAGAGUCUGAAUGGGUUCGCCUAUUUCUGCUUCUCGAGAAGUGGAGUAAAUCUUAGCGUUUAGAGGAAGGAGAAGUCGUAACA